GGCCUACCAUGGUUUUAACGGGUAACGGGGAAUUAGGGUUCGAUUCCGGAGAGGGAGCCUGAGAAACGGCUACCACAUCCAAGGAAGGCAGCAGGCGCGCAAAUUACCCAAUCCCGACACGGGGAGGUAGUGACAAUAAAUAACAAUACGGGGCUCAUUUGGGUCUCGUAAUUGGAAUGAGUACAAUUUAAAUCCCUUAACGAGGAACAAUUGGAGGGCAAGUCUGGUGCCAGCAGCCGCGGUAAUUCCAGCUCCAAUAGCGUAUAUUAAAGUUGUUGCAGUUAAAAAGCUCGUAGUUGAACCUCGGGGUCUACCCAUUGGUCAGGCUUAAUUGUCUGCACUGGUGAGAUGGAUCUCUACCUUCUGAGGAACUUUCAUGCCAUUUAUUUGGUGUGAUGGGAAAUCAGGACUGUUACUUUGAAAAAAUUAGAGUGUUUAAAGCAGACUAUCGUCUGAAUACAUUAGCAUGGAAUAAUGAAAUAGGACGGACUGAUUCUAUUUCGUUGGUUUCUAGGAUCACCGUAAUGAUUAAUAGGGAUAGUUGGGGGCAUUAGUAUUCAAUUGUCAGAGGUGAAAUUCUUGGAUUUAUUGAAGACUAACUACUGCGAAAGCAUUUGCCAAGGAUGUUUUCAUUAAUCAAGAACGAAAGUUAGGGGAUCGAAGACGAUCAGAUACCGUCGUAGUCUUAACCAUAAACUAUGCCGACUAGGGAUCGGACGAAGUUAAUUUUAUAAUGACGCGUUCGGCACCUUACG
This 755-nucleotide ribosomal RNA is filed under the name uncultured Glomeromycotina. Its description in RNAcentral is "SSU rRNA". It matches the Rfam family "Eukaryotic small subunit ribosomal RNA", at positions 338 to 1092 of the family's 1831-position model. Lineage: Eukaryota; Fungi; Glomeromycota. The record is from RNAcentral.